Molecule: long non-coding RNA, 1642 nt
Organism: Homo sapiens (human)
Lineage: Eukaryota; Metazoa; Chordata; Mammalia; Primates; Hominidae
Product: long intergenic non-protein coding RNA 1539
Source: Ensembl
AUAGAUGAAUAGAAUGAGCAAAAGUUGCAGCACAGCGUGUCACCAGAGAGGAAAAGAAUAUCCUUGCUGUGCCAAGAAAGAAAAGACCAUGGAUCUACUAGUUGCAGAUUUCAGCAGUAAUGCCAAGGGGGCAAGAAGUGACCAGCAGAACAAUUAGGCCAUGGCAACAGAAGCCAACUACAACCCAUGUUCCAAUCUAUGACCUCCCUCUCCUGCUGGUACAAGGAUAUGUAUUCCUUAGAGCAAAGGAUGCAAUGUCAAGCAAGUUGUGAUACCUCAACUAUCUACAAUUUAACACCAAGGAAAGAACACUGUUUGGAGAAAUGAGAAAGAUUAUCAUCAGUGUCUUUCAGAAGUCAUCAAAAGAAGAAAAGGAGAAAAGAGAGGAGAAAGCAGAAAGAUCUGGAGUCUGGGAAGUUCAAGAGCAUGGCACCAACAUCUGGCAAGGGCUUUCAUUCUGCAUCAUCUCAUGGAGGAAAAUAAAAAGGAGGCUGGAUGCUCCUGUGAAGUACGUCUUUUAUCUACUUGCUAUCUUUGCAAUUCCUUCAUGCUACAAUGAGAGAUAGAGUUUAAACCUGAAAACAUUCUUGGAAAAGGAAUCUUCAUUAAUUCAAAUAUACCACAAGAUUCACCACCAUCACUACUCUAAGUAUUUUUCUUCUUGAGAAAGAGAAGGAGAGGGAAAGCAAGGAAGAGGAAGAGAAAGAGAAAUGGAUAAAAACAUGGUCAAGUAGAAGAGUCUGUGAUUUCAGGUAAAUCCAGAUUUGGAGCUUAAAUGACUCAAAUGCUUUGCCUACAUUGAUCCUACAUUCAGGCUGCUUACAUAUCUCUUGGCUUCUCUGAGAACCAGAUUGUCACCACUUAAAGUGUCUUCCAGAGUCCUCACGAGUAUCAGAGAAGGCAUAAUCUGUACACGUGGCUUCAUUUAAAAUGAAAAUAUCAAGCAGUGUCAUUUUCACAAGUAUCCCCACACUGUCUGAGGCUGAAAAGAAGAGUGUAGCUAUGCACACUGCAGUGAGAAGAAAAUUUCAGCUCAAUUGGAGGAUGUAAAGAUUGAAAUACCACUGCUCCUAGUUCUGAUGCAAAAUUGAAAAGAGUGCACUGGGUCUUCAAAUGGCAUAUUGACAAGGAGAAAGAGGAAAGGAUGCCCCAGGACAGCCUGGGGGUCAAGGCUGGGCUCAGGCAUGCCUGGACAAGCCAUGCAAGUUGUCUCCGGACUUGAACCACGUAUCAGAGGAGCUAUUUGAGGAGCCACAUCAGCAUACCUGCUUCUGUGGGCCCCCAGGCUGUGGUGCUCAGCCCUUGCACUAUGAAACAUUUUUUUUUUCCAGAAGCCAAAGCUUUGAGCAUCUCCUCCCAUGUAGAGAGUGUAUAUGUUUACGUCCAUGUCUUUCGCCAUGUGAACGCAUGCAACCACCACCUCAAAUAUCAUAAAUCCUCUCUCUCCCCCUUUCUGUCUGCCUGUUUAUCUACAAUCUGUCUAUUUAAAUUCUUUUUAAACAAGAAGGGAAUAUCUUUAUGCCUGUUUGUAGGGAUAUUCUACAUCCAUCUGUUAUUUACAUCAUUCGUUUUCCUGAGGUGUCUCCAACAAAUCCUGGCUGGAUGCACUGUAUGUGUUAUUAAUAAAACAGCUGUAAAAAUA